Long non-coding RNA from Cercocebus atys (sooty mangabey), 132 nucleotides. RefSeq lists it as uncharacterized. Lineage: Eukaryota; Metazoa; Chordata; Mammalia; Primates; Cercopithecidae. The record is from RefSeq and is a predicted model, not a curated record. The transcript is spliced from 3 exons.
GAAGGAAGGAAGGAAAGAAAGAAAGAAAAGAGAGAGAAAGAAAGAAGUUGACUGAGACAUGGCCCAUUCCCUCCCUGGAACCAGCUUCUUUCCAGCUCAAGGUCAGAUGUUCUCACUGUAAAUCAUCACUAC